GACGAACGCUGGCGGCGUGCUUAACACAUGCAAGUCGAGCGGUAAGGCCCUUUCGGGGGUACGACGAGCGGCGAACGGGUGAGUAACACGUGGGUGACCUGCCCUCCAGCUCUGGGAGUAAGCCUGGGAAACCGGGUCGUAAUACCGGAUAUGACUCCAUGACGCAUGUUGUGGGGUGGAAAGCCUUGUGCGGCUGAGGAUGGGCCCGCGGCCUAUCAGCUUGUUGGUGGGGU
This 233-nucleotide ribosomal RNA is filed under the name uncultured bacterium. Its description in RNAcentral is "partial 16S ribosomal RNA". It matches the Rfam family "Bacterial small subunit ribosomal RNA", at positions 28 to 258 of the family's 1533-position model. The record is from RNAcentral.